GACCCUGUUUUUCUUUUCUUUUUCUUUUUUUUGUCUCCGAGAGCUAUGAGCAGAGUUGCCACUUGCCAGAGCACCCCUCACCGCCAAUCCGCCAUGGCUGGUAGCAGAGCGUGCUUGCGCGGGGUUGCACGCGCUGGUGUCCCUCCCCAGGAAGCUUACGUCCCGUGGCGGCGGAAGCGUCCGGGCGGCCGGCAGAUCACCUCCGCGAGCUUUGUGAGGGAGUUCCUUGGCAUCUGCUCCUGAAACAAUCAGGGUCAAUGAGCCAUCCCUGCACCAAGUGGACCACUGUUGGGAUCAAGCUUCAGGGACACGUCCUUAAACAUCUUGCGGCUGAGGGUGUUGUAAACUGCUCUUGAGUACUGCCGGGAUGCAUUCCUCCAGUCCAUUCCACCCUUCAUCAUCUGCUCAAACUCCUCGUAGCUUAUCUUGCCAUCCUGUGGGCAGAUAUUUUAGUUUACUACUGCAAUGAACUUGCUUAAUACUUGUGAUCUGAUAUAAAUUGUUGGUUCUUGUGAAAGCAGUGAUCUAACCUUGUCUUUGUCGACGUCCAGGAUAAUGUCAUCGAUCACCUUCUGGUCGCCUCUUGGAGAGAUCGCCUCCUUCAACUCUUCGAUUUCAAUGUAACUGCUCCCAUUCUUGUCAAAGUAGCUGAACACCUUGGGAAGGUGAUCCUCGCUACGGAUUUUCUUCAGGUGAAUGGAGACGGUCACAAACUCCUUGCAGUCCAGGGUCCCAUUGCCGUCUAUGUCGGCCUAGAGAAUGCAAAGACAGGAGCAUCUCAGCAGUCAUUCAAACAGUUCACCAAGUUAUAUCCUCCUAGAUUGGUGCACUUGAUGGACCGUUUGAUGGUCUGAUGUGAUCAAACAUGUAUUCGAUGGAGCAAUGCUACAACAUGCAAACUGCGGAAAAUGAGAUGGCGCAACAAAUUUAUAGGUGAAGGGGAUCUCACAGCUUCCAUGAGCAUAUCCACAUCGGUGUCAUGGACAUUGUGCCCUAUCAUUUGCAGUCCCUUUCUGAGUUCUUCAACUGUCAAGUGCCCAUCCUUGUUGGUGUCCAACAUGUGGAACAACUCCCUGAUUGCAUCGAGUUCUUCAGUUGUGAAUUGCUUCAGCCUGGAUCUCACUGCUUCUCCAAGAGGGAUGUUGGGAGCUGCGCUGGCAUUCUGUAUCCAAGGAUGUUCUUUGUUGUUGAAGAGCAGAAAUGAUAGUUAGCUUCAGCCCAACUAUUUUGUGGAGAGGAAAACCGUCAGGAUAACUAACCUAGAACCUGCUGAGCCGUCAACCGAGCGUAGGGACUUGGAUCAAGCAUCUUCCUGACAAGGUCUUUUGCAUUCUCGGACACCUUUGGCCAAGGCUCCCUCUCGAAGUCGAUGUUCGACUGGAUGAUUGCCCGCGCAAUCCCUUCAUCAGUCUCUGCAAAUGUUCACCAUAAAUCUCGAUGAAUUGAUGCACAUGAAAAAAACUCUUGAGUUCCUGAACUGAGACACAUGAACAUACCAGCCCAGAAAGGAGGGACACCACACAGCAAGAUGUACAGUAUGACUCCUGCACUCCAUAUGUCUAUUUCUUGCCCAUAAUUCCUCUUCAGGACUUCAGGAGCCAUGUAGUAGGGGGAUCCAACGAUCUCGUUGAACCUUUCACCUGAUUAAAACGAAGCGCACAAUAUGAAAUUUGUUUCUAUUUUUUGCAUUGUACAAAUAAUUGGAAGAGUUGUGGUUUUGUGCAGGGCUUUCUACCUGGUUUGAAGCACACAGAGAGACCGAAGUCGAUGGCCUUGAGAGGGGAGUUCUCGGAUGCAUUGGUGUACAGGAAGUUCUCAGGCUUGAGGUCCCGGUGCAUGACCCCGUGUUUGUGGCAAUGCUGCAAAGAGAUUUGGAAGAUGGUAACAUGCAUUCAUACCUUGUUAAUGCACAUUGACGCAUACGAGAGGGAAUGCCAAAUGCAUGCUGACACUACAAACUUCCCUUGCCUAUAUCAUGAACAUUUUUGUUUUGAGCCAACCAAACCCAACUACAGUUUUUUUUUUUUUUUUGCAUCAUGUAUUUGCAUUAUAAGCGAUGCGUACCUCAGCAACAAAGUUUGAGCCUAAUAAUUUGAAAGAAAAAAAAAGUUGUGUACCUCAGCAACAUUAAAUUGUUUCGUUUCCUAUGCAUACAUUCUGACAAUGCAAAUAAAUCCGUUUUGGAGACAUUUGUCAUCUAUAUAACUAUUCAAUGGGCAAGCUUCUAGGUCUGGCCACGCAUUUCUUUUCCUGUG
Long non-coding RNA from Phragmites australis (common reed), 2255 nucleotides. RefSeq lists it as uncharacterized. The record is from RefSeq and is a predicted model, not a curated record. The transcript has 5 exons. NCBI's taxonomy places the organism in Eukaryota, Viridiplantae, Streptophyta, Magnoliopsida, Poales, Poaceae.